Corythoichthys intestinalis (scribbled pipefish) is the source of this 1440-nucleotide long non-coding RNA. RefSeq lists it as uncharacterized. The transcript has 3 exons. The record is from RefSeq and is a predicted model, not a curated record. NCBI's taxonomy places the organism in Eukaryota, Metazoa, Chordata, Actinopteri, Syngnathiformes, Syngnathidae.
ACGUUCAUGUUGAUUUUGGGACUCACAUUGAACGUCUAUGAACACCGGGUCAGAGGUGACGUCUCCAUGUUUAUUGUGGGCUUUGCAGUAGAAGCUCCCAGAAUCUUCGGGGCGUAUGGAGUUGAAAACGUAAUUUCUUCCUGAAGACCUGAUCCUAGUUUGGCCCUUGUACCAGGUGAAGCUAGCAGCUGGGUUAGCGUCACUGCUGCAGAUCAUUCUCCACGACACAACAAUACACAGCUAAAUCUGAAGACUGGAUGGAGCUGAAGAACAGAUAUUCUCCAUAACUCAUGACCUCCCAUUCUGAAGUUCCAGUCUUCUUGCACCAGCGGUGUCCUGAUGAUGUUGGGGUGUCAGCUCUGCAGAUUCACCAAGAAGAAUUAAUGUUCAAAGAUUCUACCAAAUUCAACCUUCGAGAUGCCAUGGACUUCUGAUAUAUAGUUGAGGCAUAUAUUCGGCUGAAGUCUACCCACGCCACUCAAUUGCAAUUCAAAGAACAGUUCGGAUGUUGUGAAUUUCCAGUCCGCUCAAUCACCUUCAGAUGGGUCAACAAGUUCGCAACCCAUGGAACUGUGCAUAACCUCAAUGGUCAAGACACUAACAGACGAUUACACUCUGGAUGACCGCGGGGGUCAUAAAGAACUUUGCCCGCCGCAUCCAAAUGUGCCUGCAGUGCCAGGGAGCUGAUUUGGAGCACACUUUUAGAGCCCCAAACAGAGUUUUUGUAGAACAUACCUGAAACUUUGGAGAUGUCUGCUACAUAGGGAUGACCUAACGUAGCUCAAGUUUUGUGUCGAUCUAAAUAAAAUUUUGAGAAGUCUGCUACAUAUGCUCGAAUUAUUUGGGUAUAUACUCUCCAGGCCCUUCUAAGGGUGCUGAUGUUUAAUUUUAUUCAUCGUUUGAAAUGUUCUGAACAUGUGAUUGUCUGGGGCCUGACUAACAUUUUGCACAGUUCCAUACGCUGCAUGUCACUGUUCUGGAAGCACUGGUAUAGGUGCCUUUUAAAAGUGGGUCAAUAGAUGACCUAAUUUUUGUAUCAGUGUAGUUUACCGUCUUUUAUUGUUAUUUUGUUUUUAGUUUUGCAUGGUUCGUUCCCUUGUAUUGUGUGGUUGUGGCUUGGACCUUGAGUCUGUUAAUAAAUCUAUCCAUCUAGCUAUCUAUUGAAAAACUAUUUUACAUAUAAGUUCCCAGUUUUGCAAAUCUUUUUUUUUUCUUUUGACAAUACGUAUUUUAAAUUACACAUUUAAAAUUUACUAAUUGUAAUGGCAAAACCUGAAUUAAUACAUACAUUGAAAUCUCAGUUUAAACUGAGAUUUUCCCAUUUCAAAGGUCAAAAAUCAGCUCGUUCGAGCUGUUAUUGUUUUGAUUCUGUGUUUACAACUGAUGUCCCACCUUCCACCAAUCUGCUAAUUACAAGAUCAGUUCUUGGUCUUUGUACAG